GAAUAGAUAAAUUUUUUAUAUUUUUCAUAAUUUAUUAUAAAUUUAUUUUACAUGUAAAUUUUAGUAUAAAAUUUUAAUUAUUUUAAAAAUAAUUAAUUUAAGUUAAACAGUAAUUAAAAUUAAAAAUUUAAGAAAUUAAGAUUUAGUAAUAUUUAAAUUAAUAACUAAUUUUGUGCCAGCAGUUGCGGUUAAACAAAAGUUAAAUUAAAUUAUUUCAGUUUAUAAUAAAUAAAUAGAUAUUAAAUUAAAUAUUAAAUUAUUAGGUGAAAUUUUAAUUUAAUUAAAAAUUAUUUUUAAUUUAUGAAUUAAUAAAUUUUAUUAUAAACUAGGAUUAGAUACCCUAUUAUUAAAAAUUUAAUUAAUUAUACUAAAAUAGUAGAUAAAAUAUUAUUGAAACUUAAAUAAUAUGGCGGUAUUUUAGUUCAUUUAGAGGAAUCUGUCUAAUAAUUGAUAAUCCACGAAUAAAUUUACUUAAUUUAUAAUUUUGUAUAUCAUUGUUAAAAAAAUAUUUUUAAAUAAAAAUAAUAUUUUAAAAUUUAAAAUAAAAUUUAAUUCAGAUCAAGAUGCAGAUUAUAAUUAAGUUUAAGAUGGAUUACAAAAAAUUUAUUUAAACGGAAAGAAUUUUGUAAAAUUUAAUUGAAGGUGGAUUUAAAUGUAAUUUUAAUUAAUUUAUUAAAAUGAUUUAAAAUUAAAAUAUGUACAUAUUGCCCGUCACUUUCAUUUAAAAAUUGAAAUAAGUCGUAACAAAGUAGAGGUACUGGAAAGUGUUUCUAGAAUGAA
Molecule: non-coding RNA, 780 nt
Filed under: Athyma kasa
Lineage: Eukaryota; Metazoa; Arthropoda; Insecta; Lepidoptera; Nymphalidae
Source: RNAcentral